GGCGCGGUCGCCUGGGCCAAGGGCGUGCGUUUCCGUCACCUGAGCAGCCUGACUCGAAAUGACGAAUGGAGCCCAUCCAAUAUUGCCCUCCUCCCCCCCCCCCCCCCUUGGUCUUCCAGGAAUUCAUGUCGACUGCCCACUGGGAGCCAGGUUGGUGCUGGGAGACAUCGGUGAACAGGAGGACGAGCCUCUGGCCCCAGACACCCCCCACCCAGAGGGAGGAGACAGACUGUCGAACAAGCGAACAACAAACGAGCCAACAGUUACAGAUUGUGAUUGAAUGCUGCGAAGGAAACCAAGAAAGGGCGGACGUGCAGGCUCAGCGCGGAGGGGCGGCCGCCCUUAGCCGCAGCUGUCAGAGGGUCCCUGUGAUGAGGCCGCGUUGGAGCCAGGAGCUGGAGGACGGGACGGAGCCAGCCACGCGCAGGCGCGCUACCAAGGAACACACUAAUCUACCUCCCAGGAAGUGGUUGGGGGAGCGCCAAGAGGAGCUGGAGUGACAGCAGGGCACAGAGGCUGCAGUCCUUGCACCGUGCACUUGCAGAGGUUUCCAGGCAUGUCUUCCAAGCCCGGAAGGACACAGGAACCCCGCCACCAGCCCUCACAGCCUGUCAUCCCACCACGACAGAAUCUGGCUCUGUGAAUCUUUCAAAUGUUUCUUUAAACAAUGGAGGCACCUGACGUGGUGGCCCAUGCCUGUAGUCCCAGCUACUCGGGAGGCUGAGGCAGGAGGAUCCCUCGAGCCCAGGAGAUUGAAUUUAGCCUGGGCAACAUAGCGAGACCCUGUCUCUAAAAUAAUAAAUAAAUAGAAUUAAACAUGCAGGUCAUUUCGGGAAGUGUUCCACUUUCCAUCCUGGUUGUCAAUUAUGACUGAGAGCAGGGAGUUGGGUUGGCCGCCCCAUGGGGCCAGUUGAUGGGGGAGGGGUGUCCUGAGGUCAAGCCAGGUCCCUGUGUGUGCACCGACAAGCCCUAGCCUGGGGGAAGGCUAGCCUCGCCAGCAAAUAAGACAGGGAGAAGGAGGAGGGAGGAGCAGGUAAACUGAGGCAAAAAAGCUGGGGCCAGAGGAAACACCCUAUUAACAAACACCUUAGUUAAUAUUGAACCCUAGUUAACAGCCAAUGUCUUCAUUAACUGUUAACACCCUAGUUAACUACGAACAUCCAACUUAACAAAAACCUUGUUUGUUGUUGAACACCCUAGUACCAGUGAACACUCUAGUUAACAGCAAACAUUGUUAUUAACAGUUAACACCCCAGUAAACUGUGAACACGCUUCUUAACAAACACCUUGGUUGACAGCGAAUGCUUUAGUCAACAAUGAACACCUCCUAGUUAACGGUUAACACCUUCUUUAACAGUUAGCACCCUACUUAACAACAAGCACUGUAGUUGACAGCCAAUCCUUUGGCAGGAACCGUUUCCAGCUGAAAGUGAGGAGGAGGCACUGGCUGAGGGUUUGGG
Molecule: long non-coding RNA, 1460 nt
Organism: Microcebus murinus (gray mouse lemur)
Lineage: Eukaryota; Metazoa; Chordata; Mammalia; Primates; Cheirogaleidae
Source: Ensembl